Molecule: long non-coding RNA, 8324 nt
Filed under: Sus scrofa (pig)
Lineage: Eukaryota; Metazoa; Chordata; Mammalia; Artiodactyla; Suidae
Description: lncRNA (ENSSSCG00065029879.1)
Source: RNAcentral
UUUUUUUUUUUCUAAUGUUGAUGGUGUAAAUGUAACUCCUUCAUUACAUUUAAGAGUUUUGGUAGUAGAUAUAAAAUCAUUAAAAUAUAGCAAAGUGUGCAAUUUUUAAAGUACUUCAUCCAAAAUACUCAAAGUUGAAUAUUUGCUUGUUUUCUGAUCAUUCUCUCCCAAAGGGUCCUGGAAAAAUUAGUCAGGUUCAAAGUCCUAGGCAUUUUAAUAUUUGGGUUAUCAACCUCCAAGUAUAAUAUUUUAUCAUCUGCCAAUAUUCUGCCCUUUUACAAUGCCAAUAAAAUGAUCUUUGCCAGUAACUGAAGUUGAAUUUUUAGUAGCACCAGUGAUUCUAAAGGGAAAUUAUGACCAAUGAGCAACCUAAUUAGUUCCAUCUUUAGAGUUAUAACAUUAGUAAUUGACCAAUAUAAAUGGCUAAGAAUCCAGGCUCUAAAACUUGAUUGCCUGGGUUGGAAUCUUGCUUUUAUUACUUACUCCCUGAGCAACAUGGGAGAGUUAAUUAAACUCUCUACUUUGCUUUUCCUGUCUAUAAGAUAGGGAUAAUAAUAGUAUCCACUUAGUACUAUGAAGGAUAAUUGAGUUAAUACAUGUAAAAUUCUUAGGAGAAUAUGUAAUACAUAAUGGAAUCUCAAAAAAUGUUAUUAUUUCUAUGGAAUAGUUAAUGUUUUGCCUUACUGAUUCUAUUUUCUUGGUAGUCAAAAGAAAAUAGUUUACAAGUAUUAGUUAAAAUUAAAUUAAAAAAAAUUUUCCUUAGAAAAAAAUACAAACUUCAGAUAGACUAAAGAUUAAAUACAUGAAUGACAAUGGAUCUUAAUCAUUGGAUAGGAAUGGGGGGGUGGGUCACUGCAUUAUUGUAAAGCAGCUAGUACAGUUAACUAGCUUAAUUUUCUUUUAAAAUUUUAAAACCCAACUGUGGGUGGACGAUUUACAGAAAAAAAAUUGCCAAGUCAAUUUAAAAUUCACUUCUCCUCACCCUCACAGAGAAAUUUAUGUCUUAGAAAGUUUUUCAAUUCAGAAUCAGUCUUCUAAAACAAGUGAGCAAACAUAAACACAUCAGCAUAUCAGUGUUUUUAAGUUCAGAUAUAUGCCAAGUAUCCACACACUGGACAUGCCUUACAGAUUAUACUGAACAGUUUUGAUGACCACUCUUUCUGACAGGACAAAAUUUCUCCCUAUAGUGGCACAAAAAUGUGAAAAAAAUCUGGGUAUAAAUUAUUUGGAACAAAGGUGUUCCAAGCAAACAAUAAAUUUCUCAGGGGUUUUACCAAAAUGUGUGGGCUGACUGGUCCUUUACUCCAAAAAGCAUGUACAUGAGCUGAUCAAAUUUGGGAUUUAUAGAGUAAAUAAGUGCAUUUGUGCUUUGAUGAAAUCUUUUAGAAAGAGCCAGAGGACUAACUAAACCGGAUUUAAACCUUUCCUGUGUUUCUGCCAGCUGAAUGGGGACUGAGUACCCUUAAGAAUAAAGCCACAGGCUGAACAGAUGACAAUGAAUGGUGUAAGUAUUAAUACUCAGGGAUAAAUUUAAAGACUUUGAAAGGACAUUAUACACACUCUCACACACUUUGGUAACUGCAAUAAUAUGCUGAAAAAAAAAAAUCCAUCCAAUACUCAAUGGCUUACAACACAGAUGUAUUCCCAACUGCAUAGGUUCCACUGACUUGGGCUGGGCUGGGCUGGGCUGCCUAAGCCACUCUUCUCAGGCUGUGGGUCAGUAAGCCUUAGCCCCAGGCCAUGGGUUGAACUCACAUCUCCACUGCAUGUGUUCAAUGUGAGGUCCAAGCUGAUGGAUCUAGCAAUACCUGGCCAUCCUACAGCAAUCAGUAGAGUACAAAAUGGGGCCAGAACUUUUAAAGCCUCUGCUUAUGACAUGUCUGCUAACAUUUCAUUAGCCAAAGUGAGUCAUAUGACCAAGUCUAACUUUAGUGGGGCAGGUAAAUACUCAAUCCACAUUUGGGUGAGUCUCUGACCCCCUACUGGAUCUUUUCAGCUCCCAUGACUCUAGGACAUAGUCCAUGAGUUCCAUAUCUUCAACAAAUGUUUAGAAAUCCCUGGAAUCAUGAUAUUGAUUUCUGCCCUAGAUCAGGAGUCCUAUGGCCCUCAUCCUUUUGAUACUAAAAAAUAUAACUUGACUCAAAACUAAGCCUCCUCUACAGUUUGUCAACCCUAAUUUUGUGAUUCCAGUUAAUAGCAUAUCCUGGAACGGCUAGCACAGAGUUGGGUUGUGACAAACCCCUCCUCCCCUUCCCCUCCUUGCUAUUUAUCUAUUAUCAAUAGGCCAGCUGCUGAAUUUGCAGAAUACAUGGUGACUGAGACCUCUGGUCUAGGAGACUAUUACAAAUUUGGUACAAGGUAUACCUGGAAAUUUACCGCCUUCUUAGGCACUUUCUUAGCCAACUUUGUUUUCACUUAUUUUACAUGAACCCAAUUUAAUAAAGAAUUACUCAUGAUAAAUUUAAAAUUGUUACAUUUGUCUUUGUAAUACUUAGAUUAGAGUGAGUAUAUAUAGGCAGGUGAGGGAGUUGAGAUUUUAAGCCACUAGCCCAAGAUCCCAAAGUUAAAUCAAAAGAAAGAUGAAGUGAAGGCAAGUUCUUUCUACUCUCAUUUCAAUGAGCCUUUAUAUCUAACUCUCCCUAUAAAUCUGUUUAGUCUGCUAUAGUUAAAACCUGAAAAGUUGCCUGUUUUUCCCUCAAAAGUUAUUUACUUAGUAUAUCCAUGAACUAAAAGAGAAUAAAAGCCUGUUAAGAAGCUUUUUAAUCUAAUAAGAUCUAUAGUCUUAAUAUGAAUCUGAUCAUAUUCAUUAAUGUGCAUUGGAAUAAAACUAAGCAUUUAAUCUUAGACUUCUAUUCUUUUUGAAAUUCCUUCCUGAAACAAUAAUCUUCAUCUUCACUGACUUGUUUCCACAACUAUAAUAAAUGCGUUCAUGCCUAUGAAGAUUUUCUAAUUUUUAAAGAGGGUAAUCAUUGUAUUUAAAAGUCCAUGCCUUGGUAUAUUUUAUCUGUUCAUUUAUCCAUGGAACAACAACUGGCUGAGCACCUUUGGUGAAUAAGCCUAUGCUGGGCAAUACUGUCCUAACAUCAAAGGCAAGAAAAAAUUUCAGCUUUAUGAACAGAGUCUCAUCUGUUACAGAAUAUAUCCUUAGCAUUGAUACAAUUUUGAAAGACUUAGAGUAUUAUUACUUUUGUAACAUUUUAAUCUUUGGACAUUCCCUUUGUCUCCAGCUGGUUUACUGGGAAGUCUACCCCAUAGAUGUUCUGCUAUUGCUCUGGUCAAGUUUUGUUUCAACUACGUUAUGGAGAACAAUUCUCUUCACUUCUUACCAUUGUCGUCGUCUUUAUUUUUUUUUAAUUUUUUUUUAAUUCAGGCUGUCUUUUAAUUAGAAAUGCCAAGAAAACAGAUUUUAUGUGAACCAUAAUGCUCGAUUUCAAGUAGGCUCCCAUUUUUUUCUCCCUACUUUCACAUUACAUUGAACUUUCAACAAUAGUGGGUAUAUUUUUAAAAAUGUAUGCAUAAGCUUAAUAACAUUUAUUACAUGCCUAUUACAUCCUAAAUUACUGUGAAUUACCAUGGUCCCUGCCACAUAAUACAUAGAACUUGCCACACAAUAUUCUUUAAAUAAUUGUGUUGUUGAUUUCAUGAAAGGAUGUACACUUAUAUGGAGUCCCCAAUUUUAUAUACUUUGCUCAUUAUGUUAUAAAAUAUAUUUAGAAUGGCAUUUAAAAAAUUUUCCCAAGUUGUUAGUAAUUGUGAACAAGUGUCUAUUUACAGAGAUAUUUCUUAAAAAAAAAAAAAGCAAUAUAUUCUUCCUGUUAAGGUAUAAAUAUACACCUUUAUUUUCAGCUAAAAUAACAGUAUCAUAUAAUAAAUCAUGUAUUAUGUAAUGCUUUAUGUUUUCAUAGGAGUUUUGGGGGAAUAUAUAUCUUUUUUUUGAAAUUUUAUUUUUUUUUACAGAAUAAAAUACAUGUAUUUAAACACAAUUACAUUCACACAGAUUAUUAUAUCAAGGAUGUUAAACAGAUUAAGUGACUACCUCUGGAGAAGUGGAAUGGAAAAUAUGCUGAGACAAAUAGGAAAUUUAUUCUAUACUUUAUCCCAUUUUGUAUGGCUUUCAUCUUUACUAUUUAGUAUUAUCUAUUACAUUUCAAUUUUUCUUUAAAAAUUAGCAUUAUAUUAAAAUUGUGUAUAUUAUGCAACUAAAAUUUAUAAAGAAGAAAGCCUUAUAUACCAUUAAAUAUUUUAUAUAGCAUAAUAAAAAGAAUAACUUAACUGGUAAGAAUAACAAAAAUAAUACACCCUCUGAAAAUAAGUAAAAUAUAAAAUGCAUAAAUUGGUUAAAAAACAGUGUAACUAUAUAAAUAUGUCCUCACAAUUUGUUACAUCUUAUUGAUUCUUCAAUAAAGGCAUUACACCAUUCUAGGUGAUGUGAUAAACAAGACAUUAUAGACCUUACAUUGUACCAUGGAGAGAAAUGGUUAUUAAUAAUACAAUUGUAGAACUGUAUUAUUUAAUUGUACAGUUGCAUUAUUUAAUUAUAAUUAUCAUAAAUUCUUUGAUGGAGAGGAAAUCAGAAUCAGAUCUAAGAAGACUUCAGCAUUCCAAGAAUGAUGUCAAAUGACCCCCUUCAUGGUGGAUUAUGCACUUAUUUACUAUGAGAUAUAUUUCUUCUCCAGAGAUUCCUUGUCUAUGUAUCAAUUGUAGAUUUUUGGUUUGCAAUUAUUCUGAAGUUUUGAUAUAAGAGUCUAUAUGUAUAUGGGAUUGUUUUAAGUUGUUGAUCUCUUAUUUGCAAGUGCAUCUCCAGUGUCCUGCACUUGUACCCACCUUUUCUCAUGAUUUCUGAUUUUAGUGGUAUGGAUGAUUUCGUAUCUUUACUGUAUAGAUACCUUUAGUGGUGAGCCUUGUCAUUUGUGGCAUUUUGUUUCCUGUUGCUGUCUUUUCUUUUCUGCCUAAAGAAGUUCCUUUAGUAUUUGUUGUAAGGUUGGUUCAGUGUUGCUAAAUUCCCUCAACUUUUUCUUAUCUGUGAAGGUUUUGAUUUCUCCUUCAAAUCUGAAUGAGAGCCUUGCUGGGUAGAGUAAUCUUGGUUGGAGGUUUUUUUCCUUUCAUCACGUUGAGUAUAUCAAGCCACUCCCUUCUGGCCUGCAGAGUUUCUGCUGAAAAAUCUGCCAAUAACCUUAUGGGGGUUCCCUUGUAUGUUACUUGUUUCUUUUCCCUAGCUGCUUUCAAGAUUUUCUCUUUGUCUUUAAUUUUGGUUAGUUUGAUUCAUAUGUGUUUCAGUGUAUUCCUCCCUGGGUUUAUUUUAUAUGGUACUCAUUGUGCUUCCUGGAUUUGAGUGAGUGGUUCCUUUCCUAUGUUAGGGAAGUUUUCAGUUAUUAUCUCAUGGAAUAUUUUUUCUGUCCCCUUCUCUCUGUCUUCUCCUUCUGGCACCCCUAUAAUGCAGAUGUUUGUGCAUUUAAUGGGCUGAUGCCUGCCCACUGGUGGGUGGAGCUGAUUCCUAUCCCUGUUGUGGGUGGGGCUUAGUCUCUGGAUGGGAUUAGAGGCAGCUGUGUGCCUGAGGGGUCUUUAGGUAGCCUGUUUACUGAGGGGUGGGGCUGUGAUCCCACCUGGAUUGUUGUUUGCCCUGGGGCUUCUCAGCAGCUGACUGAUGGGUGGGGCCAGGUUCUCCCAAAAUGGCCACCUCCUGAGAAAGGCACAGCUGCUGAAUAUUCCUGAGAGCUUUGCUUUCAAUGUCCUUCCCUCACAACAAGCCACAUUCACCCCUGUUUUCCCAGGAUGUCCUCCAAGAACUGCAGUCAGGUUUGACCCAGAUUCCUAUGGAGGAGACCUUGCUCUGCCCUGGGACCCAGUGCAUGUGAAAGUCUGUGUGUGCCUUGUAAGAAUGGGGUCUCUGUUUCCCCCAGUCCUGUGGAGCUCCUGUGCACAAGCCCCACUGGCCUUCAAUGCCAGAUGCUCCAGGGGCUCUUUCUCCCAGUGCCAGAUCCCCACACACGAGGGUUUGAUGUGGGGCUCAUAACUCUCACUCCUGUAGAUGAGUCUCUGUGAACCAGUUAGUUUUCAGUCUGUGGAGCUUCCCACCAGGAGGUAUGGGGUUGUUUGUAUUGUGAAAUCACCCCUCCUACCUCUUAAUGUGGCCUCCUAUUUUUCUUCUGGAGUAGGGUAUCUUUUUUAAGGUUUCCGGUCCAUUCAGGUGGAGAUUGCUCAGCCUUUAGUUGUGAAUUUUGUUGUUUUUAGGAGAGAAGUUGAGCUCCAGUCCUUCUAUUUUGCCAUCUUAAUCCUCUCUGCUCACCAUUGUCUUCUUCUUUAAACACCAUCCUUAUCUGAAGUAUCUUUAACAAAACUAAAGAAUUGCUGAUAUGUGAAAAAAUACACUCAUGAAUAUGUUAAUUACAACAUUUUAGUUUGAGUACUUUUACAUUUUCACCCAUGAAAUAUCAAAAAGUAUUAUUACCCUCUUAAAUUUAGAAAAUUUUAAUGUCAUAUUUAUGUAUGUGUGUAUAUGUAUACAAAAUAAUAUUCUUUGAAGACUACUGUUCCUCUAGAAUUCACUAAAAUGCAAUAUAUGGCAUAUUUAGGAACAAAUAUGAAAAACAGAUGACAAUCUCAACCUAUAUAUCUUUUGUAAUGGAAACAUUUGACAUAAAUCAACAUUUCUUUCCUUUUAUUUUCCACCUCUGUAAAUCCAAGCACUAUAAUUUUACAACUUUAUUUUUUAAAAGAACUUUUUAUUUCUCAAAAUAAAUAUUAUGUCUCAUAAUAAUAAAUCUUGCUGGCACUAAAUUCACAUACACUUUUUAAACACUUAAUUUUUUUUUUCUUUGGCUGUGGCAUGUGGAAGUUCCUGGGCUAGGGAUGGAACCAGAACCACAGCAGUGACAACAUCAAAUCCUUAAUGGCCAGGCCACCAGGGAAUUCUCAUGUACACUUGUAAAACAGAAAUUUCAUCAUGAACUAUAGAAGUAUUUCUCAUUCUUUCAUUAAAUUCCUAAAACAAGCAUUCAGAUGGCUUUUGUAUCCUGAGUUAUUAUAUAAUAUGUAUCCCAAUCAUACGAAUUAUUUAUAUUUGAUCAGCUUGGUCUCAAAAAUGGCAAUUUUUAUGCUCCAAACAGUUUAUUUGUCUGGAUCUCCUCCUAGAAUGAGAGCUUUUCAUGGCCAGGCACUGCACCUUAUUCCUGUUUGUAUUAGUUAUAUUCCCUUAAAUCUUUCUACAGAGGUAUCUAGUUUUGGCUCAACCAUUCUUUCUUUCUACACUCCAAAGAAUAGCUCAGUGUUCUUUACAAGAUUAUAACUAUCCAAAAUGGACUGGUCUAGCGUUAAUUUCAAGUUGCUCUUAAAGAGUUAUUACAAGGAAUAAUGAGAAAAUAUAUGAAAUCCUAAAUGCAAUGGCUGGCACAUACUAAGUCUGCAAUACUUUAGUAGCUAUUAUUAUUACUGCUAUGAUAGAAGCAUUUACAAGGUAUAUGCAGAAUUAUACCAAGAGUAUAAGAGGAAUUUAUCAGCUAAGGCUUCCAGGAGGUAUCUCAAAAGAUUGGUUGAGAAUUUUCCCAGAUAUGUGGGGUUCAGAUUAGUGAAGAAGGGUCAUGGCAAAAAGCUAAUAUGGCUAGAAUCCAGGGCUCUGCAGAUGAUGUUGAAAGUGAUAGGGAUGGAGUAGGAUAGUUACACGAGUAGUUGUAGAAGUCCCAAUAAUGGACCAUAGAUGAGAGGAAACCUAGGGGACUUUGGGAGAUCACUGUACGUUAAUAAUUGCUCAAAAGUGCCAUCAGAACAGGCAGGCAUGUUUGACUAGUGGAGGUGCGAGAUAUGCCUCAGGUCAUUGGGUGGAGGAUAGGGUGAGGCCUACAUUCAGGUUCAGACCAAGGACAGAGUUUAAGGACCACCCUCAUGCUGAUUUGAACAAACACCAUGACAGUCCUGAUUUGAUCUUAUAGUCAAUUACCCUCUUAUCAGAUACCAAGAAGGAGCUACUACUCAAAGAAGAGGAGGCAAUUUUAUCCACCCCCACUCCCCUUGGAUUAUAAAACUGUAGCCCACCUAAUCCUCUGGGCAGAGCUUCCUUGUCUGCCUGCUUGCAUCUCUUAGAAGUGUCUUAUCUUAAUUAAUCUAUUUCUGGAGUUCCCACUGUAGCACAGUGAAAACAAUUCAACUAGUAUCUGUAAGGAUGUGAGUUCAAUCCCUGGUCUUGCUCAGUGGGACAGGGAUCCAGCGUUGCCAUAAGCUGUGGUGUAGGUUGCAGAUGAGUCUCAGAUCCCAUGUUGCUGUGGCGUAGGUCAGUAGCUGUAGCUCUGAUUCGACCCCUAGCCUGGGAGCUUCCAUAUGCUGCAGGUGUA